AGUGAACGCUGGCGGUAGGCCUAACACAUGCAAGUCGAACGGCAGCACAGUAAGAGCUUGCUCUUACGGGUGGCGAGUGGCGGACGGGUGAGGAAUACAUCGGAAUCUACUUUUUCGUGAGGGAUACCGUAGGGAAACUUACGCUAAUACCGCAUACGACCUACGGGUGAAAGCCGGGGAUCUUCGGACCUUGCGCGAUUGAAUGAGCCGAUGUCGGAUUAGCUAGUUGGCGGGGUAAAGGCCCACCAAGGCGACGAUCCGUAGCUGGUCUGAGAGGAUGACCAGCCACACUGGAACUGAGACACGGUCCAGACUCCUACGGGAGGCAGCAGUGGGGAAUAUUGGACAAUGGGCGCAAGCCUGAUCCAGCCAUACCGCGUGGGUGAAGAGGGCCUUCGGGUUGUAAAGCCCUUUUGUUGGGAAAGAAAAGCAGCAGGUUAAUACCCCGCUGUUCUGACGGUACCCAAAGAAUAAGCACCGGCUAACUUCGUG
RNAcentral lists this ribosomal RNA (492 nucleotides) under uncultured bacterium. Its description in RNAcentral is "partial 16S ribosomal RNA". It matches the Rfam family "Bacterial small subunit ribosomal RNA", at positions 29 to 507 of the family's 1533-position model. The record is from RNAcentral.